CCUACGGGAGGCAGCAGUGAGGAAUAUUGGUCAAUGGUCGGGAGACGGAACCAGCCAAGCCGCGUGAGGGAGGAAGGUACAGAGGAUAGUAAACCUCUUUUGUCAGGGAACAAAGGCGGGGACGUGUCCCCGGAUGAGUGUACCUGAAGAAAAAGCAUCGGCAAAUCCCGUGCCAGCAGCCGCGGUAAUACGGGGGAGGCGAGCGUUAUCCGGAUUUAGUGGGUUAAAAGGGUGCGCAGGCGGUCUGUUAAGUCAGCGGUCAAAGCCCGGGGCCCAACCCCGGCCCGCCGUUGAAACUGGCAGUCUCGAGUUGGGGAGAGGUAUGCGGAAUGCGCGGUGUAGCGGUGAAAUGCAUAGAUAUCGCGCAGAACUCCGAUUGCGAAGGCAGCAUGCCGGCUCCACACUGACGCUGAGGCACGAAAGCGUGGGUAUCGAACAGGAUUAGAUACCCUGGUAGUC
Molecule: ribosomal RNA, 459 nt
Filed under: uncultured bacterium
Lineage: Bacteria
Description: partial 16S ribosomal RNA
Rfam family: Bacterial small subunit ribosomal RNA
Source: RNAcentral